This 465-nucleotide ribosomal RNA is filed under the name uncultured bacterium. RNAcentral's name for it is "partial 16S ribosomal RNA". It matches the Rfam family "Bacterial small subunit ribosomal RNA", at positions 28 to 507 of the family's 1533-position model. The record is from RNAcentral.
GACGAACGCUGGCGGCGUGCUUAACACAUGCAAGUCGAACGGAAAGGCCCUGCUUGCAGGGUCCUCGAGUGGCGAACGGGUGAGUAACACGUGGGUGAUUUGCCCUCCACUUCGGGUUAAGCCUGGGAAACUGGGCCUAAUACCGGAUAGGAGCCAUUUUUAGUGUGAUGGUUGGAAAGUUUUUUCGGUGUAGGGUGAGCUCGCGGCCUAUCAGCUUGUUGGUGGGGUAAUGGCCUACCAAGGCGGCGACGGGUAGCCGGCCUGAGAGGGUGGACGGCCAAAUUGGGACUGAGAUACGGCCCAGGCUCCUACGGGAGGCAGCAGUGGGGAAGAUUGCACAAUGGGCGCAAGCCUGAUGCAGCGACGCCGCGUGGGGGAUGACGGCCUUCGGGUUGUAAACUCCUUUCGCUAGGGACGAAGCUUUUUGUGACGGUACCUAGAGAAGAAGCACCGGCUAACUACGUG